Molecule: ribosomal RNA, 484 nt
Filed under: uncultured bacterium
Lineage: Bacteria
Description: partial 16S ribosomal RNA
Rfam family: Bacterial small subunit ribosomal RNA
Source: RNAcentral
AUUGAACGCUGGCGGCAGGCCUAACACAUGCAAGUCGAGCGGAUGAAGGGAGCUUGCUCCUGGAUUCAGUGGCGGACGGGUGAGUAAUGCCUAGGAAUCUGCCUGGUAGUGGGGGAUAACGUCCGGAAACGGGCGCUAAUACCGCAUACGUCCUGAGGGAGAAAGUGGGGGAUCUUCGGACCUCACGCUAUCAGAUGAGCCUAGGUCGGAUUAGCUAGUUGGUGGGGUAAAGGCCUACCAAGGCGACGAUCCGUAACUGGUCUGAGAGGAUGAUCAGUCACACUGGAACGGAGACGCGGUCCAGACUCCUGCGGGAGGCCGCAGUGGGGAAUAUUGGACAAUGGGCGAAAGCCUGAUCCAGCCAUGCCGCGUGUGUGAAGAAGGUCUUCGGAUUGUAAAGCACUUUAAGUUGGGAGGAAGGGCAGUAAGUUAAUACCUUGCUGUUUUGACGUUACCAACAGAAUAAGCACCGGCUAACUUCGUG